AUGGCCGGUUGUCGCGGUUCCUCCUCUCGCUCCCGUAGCACUAGGCCAGGCGACUGGGAGAGAUGCUCUGUUCCCCACAUCCGAUUAGUAGAGUUGCAGACCAAGGGGUUUCUCCCACCUGCAUGCAUGGUCCCCGUCCGAGCUGGACUAGCCACUUAUAAUGGUGGUGAGCAAGCAGAGAGCUUUCCAAACCCAUCCAAGGGAGAUAGGGUGUGCUUCAUCCCCUACUUGCUGAGGGGGCUUGGAUUUCCAAUCCAUCCUUUCCUCUGCGGGCUUCUGGAGUUCUAUGGCCUCCAGCUGCACAACUUUACCCCAGCCUCCAUACUGCACAUCCCAGGCUAUGUUGCCUUCUGCGAGCUUUUCCUGGGUUGCGAAUCUCAUUUCGAGCUGUGGAAGAGGCUAUUCUGCCUCGUACCCUAUACUCAGGAGGGUCGGUAUAUCAAGUGGGCGGAGCCGAAAUAUGGCGCAUCACCGGGACUGGAUAUCUAUCUGGCACCCCGAAGAAGACAUCCGAGGAUUGGCCCUCGGAAUGGUUAUACAUGGAGGACGUCCCUCUACCAGACCCUGUUCGGAAAGGCCUUCCGGAGUAUGUAA
Molecule: ribosomal RNA, 594 nt
Filed under: Triticum aestivum (bread wheat)
Lineage: Eukaryota; Viridiplantae; Streptophyta; Magnoliopsida; Poales; Poaceae
Description: partial small subunit ribosomal RNA
Source: RNAcentral